GACGAACGCUGGCGGCGUGCUUAACACGUGCAAGUCGAACGGAAAGGCCUGCUUUCCCUUGUGGAUUGCGGGUACUCGAGUGGCGAACGGGUGAGUAACACGUGAGUGAUCUGCCCCCAACUUGGGUAUAAGCCUGGGAAACUGGGUCUAAUUCCCGAUAGGACUGCAGGGUGGUGCCUGUGGUGGAAAACGAUGUUCUAGUGGUUGGGGAUGAGCGCGCGGCCUAUCAGCUUGUUGGUGGGGUAAUGGCCUACCAAGGCGGCGACGGGUAGCCGGCCUGAGGGGGUGGACGGCCUCUUUGGGACUGAGCUCCGGCCCCGGGUCCUACGCGAGGCAGCAGUGGGGACUAUUGGCCGCUGGGCGGAAGACUGAUGCAGCGACGCCGCGUGGGGGAUGCCGGCCUUCGGGUUGUAAACUCCUUUCGACCGCGAGGAAGCCACCUGGUUGGAAGGGUGGUGACGGUAGUGGUAGAAGAAGCACCGGCUAACUACGUG
This 494-nucleotide ribosomal RNA is filed under the name uncultured bacterium. Its description in RNAcentral is "partial 16S ribosomal RNA". It matches the Rfam family "Bacterial small subunit ribosomal RNA", at positions 28 to 507 of the family's 1533-position model. The record is from RNAcentral.